This 603-nucleotide ribosomal RNA is filed under the name Marinilactibacillus sp. 7A_(MB)_50.2mbsf. Its description in RNAcentral is "bacterial SSU rRNA". It matches the Rfam family "Bacterial small subunit ribosomal RNA", at positions 76 to 665 of the family's 1533-position model. The record is from RNAcentral. Lineage: Bacteria; Bacillati; Bacillota; Bacilli; Lactobacillales; Carnobacteriaceae.
CUUGCAGAGAAUGGAUUAGUGGCGAACGGGUGAGUAACACGUGGGUAACCUGCCCAUAAGAGGGGGAUAACAUUCGGAAACGGAUGCUAAUACCGCAUAGGUCUUUGAGACGCCUGUCUCUUAGAUGAAAGGUGGCUUCGGCUGCCGCUUAUGGAUGGACCCGCGGCGUAUUAGCUAGUUGGUGAGGUAAUGGCUCACCAAGGCUGUGAUACGUAGCCGACCUGAGAGGGUGAUCGGCCACACUGGGACUGAGACACGGCCCAGACUCCUACGGGAGGCAGCAGUAGGGAAUCUUCCACAAUGGGUGAAAACCUGAUGGAGCAAUACCGCGUGAGUGAAGAAGGUCUUCGGAUCGUAAAGCUCUGUUGUUAGAGAAGAANAAGUCGGGUAGUAACUGCCCCGGCCUUGACGGUAUCUAACCAGAAAGUCACGGCUAACUACGUGCCAGCAGCCGCGGUAAUACGUAGGUGACAAGCGUUGUCCGGAUUUAUUGGGCGUAAAGCGAGCGCAGGCGGUCUUUUAAGUCUGAUGUGAAAGCCCACCGGCUCAACCGUGGAGGGUCAUUGGAAACUGGAAGACUUGAAUGCAGAAGAAGAAAGUGGA